Molecule: ribosomal RNA, 913 nt
Filed under: Candidatus Phytoplasma asteris-related phytoplasma
Lineage: Bacteria; Bacillati; Mycoplasmatota; Mollicutes; Acholeplasmatales; Acholeplasmataceae
Description: bacterial SSU rRNA
Rfam family: Bacterial small subunit ribosomal RNA
Source: RNAcentral
AUAGGUAUGCUUAGGGAGGAGCUUGCGUCACAUUAGUUAGUUGGUGGGGUAAAGGCCUACCAAGACUAUGAUGUGUAGCCGGGCUGAGAGGUUGAACGGCCACAUUGGGACUGAGACACGGCCCAAACUCCUACGGGAGGCAGCAGUAGGGAAUUUUCGGCAAUGGAGGAAACUCUGACCGAGCAACGCCGCGUGAACGAUGAAGUAUUUCGGUACGUAAAGUUCUUUUAUUAGGGAAGAAUAAAUGAUGGAAAAAUCAUUCUGACGGUACCUAAUGAAUAAGCCCCGGCUAACUAUGUGCCAGCAGCCGCGGUAAUACAUAGGGGGCAAGCGUUAUCCGGAAUUAUUGGGCGUAAAGGGUGCGUAGGCUGUUAAAUAAGUUUAUGGUCUAAGUGCAAUGCUCAACAUUGUGAUGCUAUAAAAACUGUUUAGCUAGAGUAAGAUAGAGGCAAGUGGAAUUCCAUGUGUAGUGGUAAAAUGCGUAAAUAUAUGGAGGAACACCAGUAGCGAAGGCGGCUUGCUGGGUCUUUACUGACGCUGAGGCACGAAAGCGUGGGGAGCAAACAGGAUUAGAUACCCUGGUAGUCCACGCCGUAAACGAUGAGUACUAAACGUUGGGUAAAACCAGUGUUGAAGUUAACACAUUAAGUACUCCGCCUGAGUAGUACGUACGCAAGUAUGAAACUUAAAGGAAUUGACGGGACUCCGCACAAGCGGUGGAUCAUGUUGUUUAAUUCGAAGGUACCCGAAAAACCUCACCAGGUCUUGACAUGCUUCUGCAAAGCUGUAGAAACACAGUGGAGGUUAUCAGUUGCACAGGUGGUGCAUGGUUGUCGUCAGCUCGUGUCGUGAGAUGUUGGGUUAAGUCCCGCAACGAGCGCAACCCUUAUUGUUAGUUGCCANCACGUAAUGG